This 577-nucleotide ribosomal RNA is filed under the name Begonia roxburghii. RNAcentral's name for it is "eukaryotic LSU rRNA". It matches the Rfam family "Eukaryotic large subunit ribosomal RNA", at positions 262 to 842 of the family's 3401-position model. The record is from RNAcentral. Lineage: Eukaryota; Viridiplantae; Streptophyta; Magnoliopsida; Cucurbitales; Begoniaceae.
GAGUCGGGUUGUUUGGGAAUGCAGCCCAAAUCGGGCGGUAAAUUUCGUCCAAGGCUAAAUAUUGGCGAGAGACCGAUAGCAAACAAGUACCGCGAGGGAAAGAUGAAAAGGACUUUGAGAAAAGAGUCAAAGAGUACUUGAAAUUGUCGGGAGGGAAGCGGAUGGGGGCCGGCGGUGCGUCCCGGUCGGAUGUGGAACGGCGCGUAGCCGGUCUGCCAAUCGACUCGGGGCGUGGACCGACGCGGAUUGGGGCGGCGUCGCAAGCCCGGGCCUUUGUUGUGCUCGCGGAGACGUCGUCGCCUCGAUUGUGGCUGGCAGCGCGCGCCUACGGCGUGCUUCGGCAUCAGCGCGCUCCGGGCGUCGGCCUGCGGGCUCCCCAUUCGGCCCGUCUUGAAACACGGACCAAGGAGUCUGACAUGUGUGCGAGUCAACGGGCCAGAAAACCCGUUAGGCGCAAGGAAGCUGACUGGCGGGAUCCCCUGGAGGGUUGCACCGCCGACCGACCUUGAUCUUCUGAGAAGGGUUCGAGUGUGAGCAUGCCUGUCGGGACCCGAAAGAUGGUGAACUAUGCCUGAGC